RNAcentral lists this ribosomal RNA (253 nucleotides) under uncultured bacterium. Its description in RNAcentral is "partial 16S ribosomal RNA". It matches the Rfam family "Bacterial small subunit ribosomal RNA", at positions 524 to 776 of the family's 1533-position model. The record is from RNAcentral.
UACGUAGGGUCCGAGCGUUGUCCGGAAUCAUUGGGCGUAAAGCGCACGUAGGCGGCCCGGUAAGUCCGUUGUGAAAGUCAGAGGCUCAACCUCUGGAGGCCAACGGAUACUGCCGGGCUAGAGGGUGGUAGAGGCGAGUGGAAUUCCCGGUGUAGCGGUGAAAUGCGCAGAUAUCGGGAGGAACACCAGUAGCGAAGGCGGCUCGCUGGGCCAUUCCUGACGCUGAGACGCGAAAGCUAGGGGAGCGAACAGG